Molecule: transfer RNA, 75 nt
Filed under: Triticum urartu
Lineage: Eukaryota; Viridiplantae; Streptophyta; Magnoliopsida; Poales; Poaceae
Rfam family: tRNA
About the family: Transfer RNA (tRNA) molecules are approximately 80 nucleotides in length. Their secondary structure includes four short double-helical elements and three loops (D, anti-codon, and T loops).
Source: Rfam by way of RNAcentral
CGAGGUGUAGCGCAGUCUGGUCAGCGCAUCUGUUUUGGGUACAGAGGGCCAAGGGUUCGAAUCCUGUCACCUUGA